Molecule: ribosomal RNA, 253 nt
Filed under: uncultured bacterium
Lineage: Bacteria
Description: partial 16S ribosomal RNA
Rfam family: Bacterial small subunit ribosomal RNA
Source: RNAcentral
UACGGGGGGAGCAAGCGUUGUUCGGAUUUACUGGGCGUAAAGGGCGCGUAGGCGGCGCAACAAGUCACUUGUGAAAUCUCCGGGCUUAACUCGGAGCGGCCAAGUGAUACUGUCGUGCUAGAGUGCGGAAGGGGCUACUGGAAUUCUCGGUGUAGCGGUGAAAUGCGUAGAUAUCGAGAGGAACACCUGCGGCGAAGGCGGGUAGCUGGGCCGACACCGACGCUGAGGCGCGAAAGCUAGGGGAGCGAACGGG